Long non-coding RNA from Suricata suricatta (meerkat), 800 nucleotides. RefSeq lists it as uncharacterized. The transcript has 3 exons. The record is from RefSeq and is a predicted model, not a curated record. NCBI's taxonomy places the organism in Eukaryota, Metazoa, Chordata, Mammalia, Carnivora, Herpestidae.
GGUCGGGGAGGCGGGUGAGGCUGGCAAAAAAGAGCAACGCAACCGUUUUUACCAGCCCAUAACACCCUGGGACUAGGAAGGCGGGAUUCAAGAUGGAUAUCUAAACAGCGGAUAGAGCCAGAACGCUCCACGGCUACUACUUGAAAGAGCCCUCAGUAGAUACAAACUCUCCUCACUACAUCUAGUCUGGGGAGGUGCGUUAAAGAGUAAGCAUUGGGAAGUGUGGCGCCCACCGACAGAAGGAGGGAUUUAGGGUGUGGAAAAAAAGUGCCGGUGAGGGCUCUGCCAGUCCCUGUUCCUGUAGAGAGUUCUGUUGUGAUAAGGCAUUUACUUUAAUAAUCAAAGUGGUAAUGGCUAGUUACCCUCCAGACACUUAACCUUUACUAUUCUUGAAGUCCACAAAGAAAGAGGAUGUUGAAAGAUAGAACUUUGGCAGUGGCGUGGGAACUGCGAGAGGGCCAGCCCAGCUCCCGCUAAAUCACAUCUGGUAUUGCCAACACCAGUAAGACUCAAUGGGUGUAGCUCAGACUAAAUGACUCAGUCAAACUACGUGAGGACAAAUGAAUUGUCAGCGCUCUCUUAGAGCCCUGCAAUAAACCAAGUAAUUCUAGAAGAGUUUGAGACUUUGGACAACCCUAAUCAAGGACACGAGAGGGCAGCAGUGUUGGCACCAGGACCCUCAACACCUCUGAUGCCCUGGUAGUUGGACCCCUUGUGCAUGUCAGCAGCUGCAACAGCAGUGGCAGUACCUUUGGUGGGCAAUGAACACAUGGCUUGGACCGGCAGCAGCUAGCUGCUUG